UCCGAGUUGACCCCGGCAGUCUCCUAUGAGUCCCCGCCAUAACGCGCUGGCAACAUGCGACGAGGGUUGCGCUCGUUGCGGGACUUAACCCAACAUCUCACGACACGAGCUGGCGACAGCCAUGCACCACCUGUGACCGUGCCCAGAAGGGAGGGUGUGUUUCCACACCUGUCACGGACAUGUCAAACCCAGGUAAGGUUCUUCGCGUUGCGUCGAAUUAAACCACAUGCUCCGCUGCUUGUGCGGGCCCCCGUCAAUUCCUUUGAGUUUUAGCCUUGCGGCCGUACUCCCCAGGCGGGGAACUUAAUGCGUUAGCUGCGACACGGAGACCGUGGAAUGGCCCCCACAUCUAGUUCCCAACGUUUACGGCAUGGACUAC
RNAcentral lists this unclassified non-coding RNA (379 nucleotides) under uncultured Actinomycetes bacterium. RNAcentral describes it as "uncultured actinobacterium contains 16S-23S intergenic spacer region". The record is from RNAcentral. Lineage: Bacteria; Bacillati; Actinomycetota; Actinomycetes.